RNAcentral lists this ribosomal RNA (420 nucleotides) under uncultured bacterium. RNAcentral's name for it is "bacterial SSU rRNA". It matches the Rfam family "Bacterial small subunit ribosomal RNA", at positions 355 to 775 of the family's 1533-position model. The record is from RNAcentral.
UGGGGAAUCUUGCGCAAUGGACGAAAGUCUGACGCAGCGACGCCGCGUGGGGGAUGAAGGGUUUCGGCUUGUAAACCCCUGUUGCCCGGGACGAAACGCCACUUUCGAGUGGCUUGACGGUACCGGGUGAGGAAGCACCGGCUAACUCCGUGCCAGCAGCCGCGGUAAUACGGAGGGUGCGAGCGUUGUCCGGAAUCACUGGGCGUAAAGGGCGCGUAGGUGGCGCGGCAAGUCAACGGUGAAAGCUCGACGCUCAACGUCGAGUCGGCCGUCGAUACUGCCGCGCUGGAGCACUGUAGAGGCUCAUGGAAUUCCGGGUGUAGCGGUGGAAUGCGUAGAGAUCCGGAAGAACACCGGUGGCGAAGGCGGUGAGCUGGGCAGUAGCUGACACUGAGGCGCGACAGCGUGGGGAGCAAACAG